Molecule: transfer RNA, 96 nt
Filed under: Salinicola sp.
Lineage: Bacteria; Pseudomonadati; Pseudomonadota; Gammaproteobacteria; Oceanospirillales; Halomonadaceae
Also listed under: 1 other name
Description: tRNA-Sec
Rfam family: Selenocysteine transfer RNA
Source: RNAcentral
GGAAGAGAAUCGUUCCCCGGUGGGGCGCCAGGACUUCAACUCCUGUAGGGGCUGCCAGCAGUCCCUGGUGGGUUCGACUCCCACUCUCUUCCGCCA